Helianthus annuus (common sunflower) is the source of this 584-nucleotide long non-coding RNA. RefSeq lists it as uncharacterized. The transcript is spliced from 2 exons. NCBI's taxonomy places the organism in Eukaryota, Viridiplantae, Streptophyta, Magnoliopsida, Asterales, Asteraceae. The record is from RefSeq and is a predicted model, not a curated record.
UAUACGUUGGUGUUCUAACCAAUAAUCACCGAUGCUAUAUUCUGUCCGAUCGAUUCAGGAACCAACUAACGAAUGCCAAAGCGCUGUCUAAACAAGACCAUACUUUGUGAAUUUCGUUAAGAUUCUGAAACGAACGCCAAAGUGUUACUUUGUGAAUUUCGUUAAGGUUCUAAUCUCGUGAACAUCGUUAGGUUUGAUGUGGUUUUACACUAAUACGUAUUCCACUCUGUCAAACUAUAUGUUUAACUACCAGAGAAGUCCGCACUCUACACUUACAAUCAAACAAAAUAACUAAUCAUCAGAAGAUUCAGAACUACCCAGUAGAUGCUUAGUUAUCAGAAGGCAUAAAAUCAGGAGGCUUGUUUAAUCAAAGACUAUAUGCUAACAAGGUAAAUGACAGUAGAUUGGAAUAAGAGUGAUGAUACGGCACCAAAAAGGCUUAAAGAAUUUACUUAUUUUAUCAAUUGAAUUAAAUUAAGAAAACAUGGUUUCAUAUAUUCGGGUUUAUCCCUCAUUAAAGCUACCUUUGUAAAACAUGGGUUUUAUCCCAUCUAUUUAAUAAAUAAAAUCCGAUGUUUUCUAAA